GGAGAAAUUGCAGAGUGGUUAAUUACGACGAUUUUGAAAAUUGUUCUGGCCCAAUUUAGUAAGUUAACGGGGGUUCAAAUCCCUCUUUCUCCA
RNAcentral lists this transfer RNA (93 nucleotides) under Andreaea rupestris var. fauriei. RNAcentral's name for it is "tRNA-Ser". It matches the Rfam family "tRNA". Rfam says of the family: Transfer RNA (tRNA) molecules are approximately 80 nucleotides in length. Their secondary structure includes four short double-helical elements and three loops (D, anti-codon, and T loops). The record is from RNAcentral. Lineage: Eukaryota; Viridiplantae; Streptophyta; Andreaeopsida; Andreaeales; Andreaeaceae.